Molecule: ribosomal RNA, 467 nt
Filed under: uncultured bacterium
Lineage: Bacteria
Description: bacterial SSU rRNA
Rfam family: Bacterial small subunit ribosomal RNA
Source: RNAcentral
GAUGAACGCUAGCGGCAGGCCUAAUACAUGCAAGUCGAGGGGCAGCGGGAGUAGCAAUACUUGCCGGCGACCGGCGCACGGGUGCGUAACACGUAUACAAUCUACCUUUAACAGGGGGAUAGCCCGGAGAAAUCCGGAUUAAUACCCCAUAACAAAUUGAAUGGCAUCAUUUGAUUUUGAAAGCUUCGGCGGUUAGAGAUGAGUAUGCGCCUGAUUAGUUAGUUGGUGAGGUAACGGCUCACCAAGACCACGAUCAGUAGGGGAUCUGAGAGGAUUAACCCCCACACGGAUACUGAGACACGGAUCCGACUCCUACGGGAGGCAGCAGUAAGGAAUAUUGGACAAUGCCCGCAAGGGUGAUCCAGCCAUGCCGCGUGCAGGAAGACGGCCCUAUGGGUUGUAAACUGCUUUUACACCGGAGAAAACCUUCCCUCGUGAGGGGAGCUGAUAGUAUGGUGAGAAUAAGC